GCCAUUUGACACAAUAAUUUUCAGACAUAAUAUCCUAAUUUUGGAAAUUACCCAGAGAUAAGCGAAAGAUGACUAACUAUUACAUUUGAUAUGAGUAUGGCAACAAAACGAGGAAACUGGUCAUCCCUUAAUCCAUAUGCAGCAUGAUCAACGCAUAAACCUUAAAAACAUGGAAACAAGCAUAUUACAAAUGAGUGAACAAAUAUUCAGAAACAACUUGGUGAUUGAUGACAACAAAAAUUACCUGAACUGCAUUAAAGCUACAGUGCAUGAUUGAUUGUACAGAAUUAUCCAACAAAUGAGAGCAUAACAACAAGGAAUCCCAUUCAAGUAGAAAUCAUAUCGUUCGCUUGAAAGAUCUUCCAUAACAUAACAGAGAAUGAACCUAAUGCUUCUAUUCUCAACUACAAUACAAUUAAUUUUGUUCUUCAUAUAAUCUUGUCUCCCUAAGGCUACUCUUUAUAUUCAGGAUCUUGUUUACCAAAGAUCAACGGGAAUUCAUCAUGCUGGUCAGAAAAACCAUGUUUCUCGGCCAUGCUCUUUAAAGAUUCAUAUACUCGGUACAUAGAAGGCCUAUCCUUGGGCCUGGAAACCACACAACUCCAAGCAAUCUUCAGGAACUGCAUUAUUUCAUCAUCAUGACCUUUCCCAUAUAGAGCUUUAUCCAUGGCUUCCUUGCUUCGACCAGUGCUCACUAAAUGAUUUACCCAAUCCACCAAAUUCCCUUUGAAUCCUUCCUCUGCAAUACUAACUUCCAAAGGCUUUUGCCCUGUAACCAACUCCAAAAGCACGAUCCCAAAGCUAUAAACAUCCCCUUUAAAUGAGGCAACCAUGGUACUUGAAUACUCAGGAGCAACAUAACCAAACUCCCCUAAAUCUCCAUUAACAAAAGAACUAUCAUUAGAAUCUCGAGAACCAACCAACCUUGCCAAACCAAAAUCAGUAAACCUAGCAUCAAAAUCGUCAUCGAGAAGUAUUACAUUAGAGCUAAUAUACUGGUGCAUAUAUGGUGGCUGGCAUCCAUGGUGGAGCCAAGUAAGCCCUCUAGCUGCACCAACACCAAUCCUAAGCCUCGUAGGCCAAUCCAAAAGACCAGAGGGACUGAAACCAAACCCACUCCCAUGCAAUUGAGAAUACAAGGUCCCAUUAGGCAUAUGCUUAUAAACCAACAGCCUCUCUUCUUCAACAACACAAAAUCCCAAUAAAGGCACCAAAUUUGGAUGCCUAAGUUGACCUAAUCUGUUCAUCUCAGACCUAAACUGCUUCUCGGUGAGCUUACAAUCACUAAGCCUUUUAAUAGCAAGAGCAGACCCAUCAGGUAAAACAGCCUUGUACGAAACCCCAGUUCUAGUUGAAAUCACAAUAUUUUCCAAAUCAAAAUUAUUAGUGGCUAGCAAUAUAUCUGCCAACUUGAUCUUAACAAUGGGCUUUUGAAACAAUGAGACUUGAACAAGCUUAUGUGACCUCAACAACUCGACCCAGCUAGAAUCAUCCUUGCCACUACCAAACCCAUAACCUUUCUUUUUGUCACUUGGCCUAAUAUACAACCACCACCAAAUCACAAACCCUAAAAUCAAAGACCCAGCAGCACCAAUAACACCAGCAACAAUGAUAAUGCCAAGGCUCUUACCACUCAAUCCGCCGCAUUUACCAAGAGGCCUACCACAAAGCCCGUCAUUCCCAUCAAAAUCAGCCUCAGGGAAUGUUGCCAAAUCAGCCGGUAGCGAACCGGACAAAUCGUUAUCCGCCACCGAAAACCGUUUCAACCGGGCAAGGCUGCCGAGACCGUAAGGGAUUGAACCGGACAACUUGUUUCCAUUCAAAAUGAGAUUGUUCAAGAACUUGCAGUUAACGAUCUCAGGCGGAAUGGAACCCGAGAAGCGGUUACUGGAGAGAUCUAGAGUAACAAUAUAAGGCAACCAAGUACAGAUUUGGGAAGGGAUCGAACCGGAAAGUGCAUUGCCGGAGAGAUCUAAGGUCUGGAGGCUGCGACAAUACUUGAGAGAAUCAGGAAGCUGUCCGGCAAGCUGAGACACCGGGAGCUGAAGGCUGAUGAUUCGGUUUUCCUUCUCAUUCCAGCAAGAAACGCCAUUAAGCUUGCAAAUAGAGGCAACGGAUUUGUUGGUCAAGUCCCAGGAAGCCAGUCUACUGAGUGGGUCAGUGAGCGAGUUUUUCAAGCCUUCAAGGCAAGUAACGUCAUCCUCAAUGGCAAAACAGAAAGGCAAACUAAAGAG
RNAcentral lists this unclassified non-coding RNA (2234 nucleotides) under Hevea brasiliensis (rubber tree). Lineage: Eukaryota; Viridiplantae; Streptophyta; Magnoliopsida; Malpighiales; Euphorbiaceae. The record is from RNAcentral.